This 489-nucleotide ribosomal RNA is filed under the name uncultured bacterium. RNAcentral describes it as "bacterial SSU rRNA". It matches the Rfam family "Bacterial small subunit ribosomal RNA", at positions 28 to 516 of the family's 1533-position model. The record is from RNAcentral.
GAUGAACGCUAGUGGCAGGCCUAACACAUGCAAGUCGAGGGGUAGAAUUAGCUUGCUAAUUUGAGACCGGCGCACGGGUGCGUAACGCGUAUGCAAUCUACCUUGUACAGGGGGAUAGCCCAGAGAAAUUUGGAUUAAUACCCCAUGGUAUAAUUAAUUUGCAUGAAUUGAUUAUUAAAGUUCCAACGGUACAAGAUGAGCAUGCGUCCCAUUAGCUAGUUGGUGUGGUAACGGCAUACCAAGGCGACGAUGGGUAGGGGUCCUGAGAGGGAGAUCCCCCACACUGGUACUGAGACACGGACCAGACUCCUACGGGAGGCAGCAGUGAGGAAUAUUGGUCAAUGGUCGGAAGACUGAACCAGCCAUGCCGCGUGCAGGAAGAAGCAUCUAUGGUGUGUAAACUGCUUUUGUACGGGAAGAAACACUCCUACGUGUAGGAGCUUGACGGUACCGUAAGAAUAAGCACCGGCUAACUUCGUGCCAGCAGCC